GGUAAGAUGGCCGAGCGCUUAGGCGGUAGGCUGUAGUCCUAUUUAGAGGGGUUUAAUUCCUUUUCUUAUCA
RNAcentral lists this transfer RNA (71 nucleotides) under Basiliscus galeritus. RNAcentral's name for it is "tRNA-Tyr". It matches the Rfam family "tRNA". From Rfam's summary of the family: Transfer RNA (tRNA) molecules are approximately 80 nucleotides in length. Their secondary structure includes four short double-helical elements and three loops (D, anti-codon, and T loops). Lineage: Eukaryota; Metazoa; Chordata; Lepidosauria; Squamata; Corytophanidae. The record is from RNAcentral.